CACUUUUCAGUGUGUCAUGCUCUGCCUGUGGGCAGGUGCACAGGAGGCCAGGAGGGAACAUGGCCAGGACAGGUGACCAGAACUAUCCUAAAGGAUGCUCCAUGGCACAGCAACUCAUUCCCAGUAUUUCAGCUGGAGGGAAUUGACUGUGAGGGGCCAAUUUCUGCCUGGGGAUGGACUGAGAAAAGAUGACCUACAUGGGCAGGAAAGGCUGCUUGUUGGACUAGAGAACAUUUGAAGAGGAAAUGCAAAGAGGGAGCAUCUGAGGACACCAGCUGGCUGUGCAUUAUUCUCCCUCCAUCAUCUGUACUUACAGACAAAUAAAAGAAGCCUUUGGGAAGAACUAAUGGUUUCUUUUAACCUUCAAGUGUUCCCCUUGGGAUAGUAUGACCCUUCUUUUUUAAAUCCCAUGCUUCCUGCUCUGAAGUUUUCAUGGCUACAGUACAGUUCCCACUAUACCAGGAUGUGUCUCAAAUCAUUCCAUCUCCAGAUCGAACAUCAGGCAUUUUUCUGCACCCCAAAUUCUCCUUGCUCUCUUGAUAUUAAGCUGGAAAUCUAAUAACAUUUUUUCACUUUUAAUCUUCGUGAAGUGCCUCCACUGCAAAAAGACAAUAAACCAUUGUGCUAGUAGUUUGAACAGUCAUUUGUCAUCCAUGGAGCAAUUAUGCUCAGAAAGAGCAGACAGAAUGGACUGCUUUCUGCUAACAGUGCAACACUGCUUUAGAGCAGAAACUACCCUCAACCAAGCCCAGCUAAUGUGUAUGUGUCAAAAAUGAUGUUUCUGAAGCAAAAUCUCAGGUACUUAAGGUAUUCCUAUUUCCUCCCCCAGACGUCUGCUUAAGCUGAUGAAUGAGAAACUGCCACUCUCUGGUAUAAUUAUUGUCUGAAACAAUAUUUGCUGAUAGCUGAAUGUCCUUAAUAUUGAUUACCUGGAAAGGUCAGAAUGAUUCCUUGGUAUUUUAUUAGCUUUAUAAAUAGAAAUGGCAAAGGCAAAACGUGAAAGGUAGCAAUGAGGAGAUUAAGUGGAAUUAAAAGUGUGAAAAUGGGAAAAGCAGUGAAGAUAUCUCAGGAAAAAAUAUCUGUGCAGAAUAGCAGGAAAAAUUUAUUCAUUUUACGGGAUGUAUACACAUAAUUAAAAUAAGUGUUAUGAGGAGUAAGAGAAUGCCAAGAGAAUUGAAAAUAUGCCACCAAGAAUAAUCAAGAAAAGGUCACAUUUUCACUUAGAUUUAGAUAGUAUCUUAGUUGCAUGCAUAAGAAAGAGACAAAAUGUGAUUGAAUUGAUGCAUGUAGCAGAACCACACAGGUUUUUGAGCUACAUGAAGUGCCACAGCUAUUGAAGUUAAAAUGAGAAUUUCAGUCAGCAGCAGCAUUUUAUACCCAAUAGUCAACAAUACUUUAGAAAUGGCUUAAGCCAUAAAUGAGCCUGUGUCCUGGUAACGGCCAGGGCAGGGUUGAUUCUUGCAGAAGCCAGGAGGGGCAUGGCCAGGACACAGAGGUUGUUUUACAGCAGCUCACAUCAUUGCCAAGGCAGGGAGAGGGGAGUUUCCCCAGGACACGGGGUUUCUUCUGCUCAGUGACUGUGGCAGAGGGAGUGCUUGGGUGGCCAGGGAAGUGUGGCUGUGGUUGGGUUGGGCCAGGCUCUGUGGUGACCAUUUUGCAUCUGAAUCACUCUCUCUCCUUUGUACACUUUUGUUAUUAAUAUUGUUCUUCUUACUGUUUGGUUUUUCAUCUCAUUGCUGUUUCCAGUACAUUUUUUCUUAUUUCAGCCUGUGACCUUCCCCUUUUGUGCCUCCAGUUCUCCUCUCCACCAAGGGGGAGGGAAAGUGGGUGAGCAGCAGGUUUGGAGAGCCUCAGUGGGAGCACUAAAUUGGGGAGUACCAUUCCUAAACCACAGCCUAAUAGCUCCUCCUGGUUCAUACCUUGUUCUCUCAUAAUUUUUUCUCUUUCUCAAAGUUGUCAUAUGCUGUCUGGAAAGCAUCCUGUUUUACCUCUAAGCAGGAAAAGUCCCAUGAGAUUUUCUGCUAAAUGGCAUUGCCAAAGUGCUGAAGACUUCAUGCUCAGAGGUCUGUGACCAUCGUAAUAUGCAGAUGAGAGUUCUUAGCAAUACACAAAGAGAGAAACAGUCACUGAUAGUUUUGCCGAGCCUGUUGUGUGUCACCACCAGCUGAAGUCCACUGCUACUGACCAAUUGUUCCUGUCAGUCGGGGAAAUAUAUUUGUUCUCUUUGUUGUUUUCAGAAAAGGUUGGAGAAGGAAAUCCUACUGUGAGGAUGCACAGCUGUCCCAGUUUACCUCACAAGCUGAAAGUAUUGCCACCUAAGGUAUCAUUCUGUUAUCAAUUAAGUUAUCAAGAUACAUCAAAUCACAUCUCAUUGUAUUGCCACUAAGCAAAACUAGGACCUAUUUACCACAAAGCAUGUACAUUUCUCAUGUUAUUGCCAAUUUUAAAAAUGAAAGAAGACAUACUCUGUAAGAUAUGAAGAAAUAGUUCUGAGAAACCAUCCCUCCAUGCCAAUAAAUUGUUUAUGCUGCUUUAAUUUACAUCAAAUGACAAGAUUGAAGCAAAGAAGCCUAAGUAUUGAUGGUGUUAGGAGACUCUUUUGGCCUAGUACUCUCUGUGAUAGCCUUUUUGCUAACGUGUAGUCAACACUCCAAAGGGAUUCCAGUUCUCUUACACCACUCCUAUCCUUUCUCACUAAUCUGGAAUAGGAGAACUGCAAAAAAGUCCCAAAACCCAAAGCCAAACUCUCCCCCUCUCUGACAGUGACACUCUCUUCUUUAAACUACAUUUAAAAAAAGAUUCAUUAAAUCUUUCCUUGAGAGAAACGACAUUUGGAUUAGGUUGUUAAUUUCAGUUUCUGUUGAAGAAAUUUCAGCUCACUUAAAUUUGGUGUUAUUUUUUACUGGUGGCUUUCUAGAUGUUUAUAAGCAAGUUUCCCCUUGAAAUUGCUAGAGGAGUGUGUGUGACUUCAGGAAAGCAGUGCAGAGGUGACAAAAAGAUCACGGUCCUACUUUGUUGGAAACUAAAUGCAACACCUCUCAUGUCAGCCUGUUCCUCAGAUUCCAGGAUGUUCCUCAGAUUCCAGGAUGUGAAUGGGUGCAAGAGAUCUGAGAUUCAGAGCAGAUCUUCAGCUGAGAGGGGAAGCAGAGAGAUGAAGGCUCUGGCAGGAAGUUUUUUCUGCCCAGUAGCAGGACUAUUUUUCCUUUUCUCCUUUCAAAGCCCUGCAGCUUCAGCUUUUGAAUCCUUUCAUGACUGGAGGAUCUCAAAUGGCACAAAUCAUCCAAGCAUGCCAUCUUACAUUUGCAUCAGGCUAGCUACUUAUCAACAGCCCUCUCAAAAUAUUAUUUUACCAUUGCAAUUAUCUAAGCUCCCUUAACAGAUCAGAGUGCAGCCAUCUGCUCUGCACUGGGCUAACCCUGAAGCCUAAGAAAAUGUUACAACUCAUAGAAAUCACAGCUGCUUAUUUACUUAAUCAUAUUAAAUGUAAAAUAUUAUCUUAGUUCUUUCCCAGAUGAACGAACUUCAUAUUGUUUUCUGGAAAAAUUUCAAGAUGUUUGUAUCAGACUUUGGAAAGCUGUGUUGGUGUUAAAUACCAAGAAGACUAUCACUGAUGAAAUUACAAUAUAAUGAAAGUAAUAUUCCCAAUUUCAUCACCAGGUGGUUGCUGCAGAUUUUUAUAAUUGUAAAGCCCUUGACUGGGCUUGAUUCAACCUUUAUGUAAAUAUUUGAUAGAACUAGAAAUUUACUGAAGGGCGUAAUGAAAGGUUUACAUUUUCAAACGCUUGUGCUUUAGAGAGAACUACUUAUAUGAAUAUUUAUUUUUUGAUAACAUUUGGUUUUAUAUUUAUUUUGGGGAUAAAUGACCAGUUCAUAUGCAGUUUGAUAUAUGUACAUGAAAAUCAGUAAAAUGUACACUUACUGCAAGUAAAUUGAAGAAUCUUGAGGUAGUGUAUUUUCUCAACUAAAUUAACAUUAACUAAAAAUUAAAUCCUUAGUUUCAAGUUACUCUAAUGAAUUAAAAACAACAGGCAAUGUAUAGCUGGACAGUAAACUCUUGAAAAAUGUCAAAGAGUUUACAUUUGGAUAUUUAAAUUCACUGGAGGUAAAGUAAGAACUUUUUUCUAAGAAACUUGAACACAAAUUACAAGAAGUUAAGUAUAUCAAAUGUUUAAAGAGGCAGUAUUAAUUCUCAGAUAUUCCUCCCUGGUUCUUUCUAUACACUGUUGUUUUCUUGUCCUGAGUCAGACUUUUGGCAUAAAUGCAAAUCUGUAAACUAAGAAGUAUCAUGACACAUAUUUGGAAAUAAGAAUUCUUUGUCUCAAGUAUUGCUUCUUUACAUUGAUGGGCUUUCAAGGGUGACUCCUGACCAAAGUGAAAAUGAUAAACAACAGUCCUAAAAUCAAAGCAGUUUUCUUUCCAUCCCAUUCCCUUGUUGAAUUACUUUUGCUCUUACUGUUUUCCCACUACUAUCUCUACAUUUCCUAAUGUAACUGUCUUUAAAAAUGUUGUGCCUGUUUUGAGUCACAUUUUACUGAAAAUAACACUUUCUACACCUGUCAGAGUCAGACAGCACCUCAAUUUUUGACAAUGCUUUCUUGUUCAAAAUGUGGUUUGACAGGUGUAUCAGACAGGGACUAAAGCCAAAGGCACCACUGUAGGAGAAUAAUUUCUGAGCCACUGAGGAUAAGUGCUAAUCACAGCCUCUGAAGGAACAGAUGGAGUCUAUUUAGUGUCAUCUGACAGCCUAACAUUAGCUCAGACAAAUUUCUUAACCUGACGAGUGGCCAAAAUAAAGAUGACAGUGUUCAGGUGUUACAAUUUGUUGAACAAAGGUGUACCUAAGUUCACAGUGCUGUGGGACUCAGAGUAUUAACUGUGCCUAGCUCUGCUUUUGGAUUGUGAACAAAUGCUGCUUUGUUUAGCAGAGAGCAAGGUUUGUGACUUGAAGCCAGACAUAGUCUGUGCUAAAGAAAUACUGGAAUACAGAAGGCAGAAGAUAUUGGAGAUCCAUUCAAGGAUUUAGCUACUCAAAGACACAUCACAGCUCUUCAGGGGUAUGUUUUUGCAGGUAGCUACUACAAAUGGUCUGAGAACAGUUACAUUCUCUCUGCUUUGUCAGCAACUCAGCCUAGUUUAUUCUUUUGUGUAAUAAAGACUGGUGUGGUCA
Non-coding RNA from Zonotrichia albicollis (white-throated sparrow), 5167 nucleotides. Lineage: Eukaryota; Metazoa; Chordata; Aves; Passeriformes; Passerellidae. The record is from RefSeq and is a predicted model, not a curated record.